RNAcentral lists this ribosomal RNA (477 nucleotides) under uncultured bacterium. Its description in RNAcentral is "partial 16S ribosomal RNA". It matches the Rfam family "Bacterial small subunit ribosomal RNA", at positions 28 to 506 of the family's 1533-position model. The record is from RNAcentral.
GAUGAACGCUGGCGGCGUGCUUAACGCAUGCAAGUCGAACGAGAAGUGGAGACGGACACCUUCGGGCGGAAGACUUUAUUUCGAGUGGCGGACGGGUGAGUAACGCGUGGGUAACCUGCCUCAUACAGGGGGAUAACAGUUGGAAACGACUGUUAAUACCGCAUAAGACCACAGCACCGCAUGGUGCGGGGGUAAAAACUCCGGUGGUAUGAGAUGGACCCGCGUUCGAUUAGCCAGUUGGCGGGGUAACGGCCCACCAAAGCGACGAUCGAUAGCCGAUCUGAGAGGAUGACCGGCCACAUUGGGACUGAGACACGGCCCAAACUCCUACGGGAGGCAGCAGUGGGGAAUAUUGCACAAUGGGGGAAACCCUGAUGCAGCGACGCCGCGUGAGUGAAGAAGUAUUUCGGUAGGUAAAGCUCUAUCAGCAGGGAAGAAAAGGACGGUACCUGAGUAAGAAGCCCCGGCUAACUACGU